UAUAUCGGAAUCUAUUUUCGCUUCAUGCCAACAAGCCGCUUCAUAACUCGAAAGUUUAUGCAAAAAAAAAAAUACCUUAGACAUGGCUGUAUGGACGUAGUUACCUUUACCUUCGAGAAAAAAAAAAUACCUUGUUAUAUUUUUCUUGAUCUCGUUGCUGAAGUUCUCUUGAUAUUUUCCUGUGCUACUUAUUUCCUAUUUUGUUAGAAUUUGUAGUUUACAAGUUCAUUGAAUCGAGCCGUACUUCCCCGUUUUUUGCGUCAACAUUCUACUGUAAAAAUUUCCAGAAUCAUUAUGUGUUUUGGAAAGAGCUGAUAUGAUAAUAAGUUUGUCUAUAAUGUGCGUUGAUAAAUUGUAAUGUGUUAGAUGCUGAUCGACUUUGUCAUACUAACUCAUACUCGUACUAAGAGAUGCGAGCAACAAUAACAAGUCUCCUGAAGAAUGUUCCAGUCAGAGUUGGAAACAAUUGUGACUGUAUAAGUUGUGGAAUAUCUUUGAACAGGCACUCAAGAAGACAAAAUCACAGGCCAUAGGCUUAUGGAAAAAAAGUGAUAAGUGGUAUUAUACAGAAAAACAAAUAUCUCCAAGACAGAUGCCUGAUGGAUGCUUGAAUUAGAGAUGAAUGGUUGUUUGCAGGAUGAGCUCACAUCGAAAGCAUUAAUAUUUAGUGAACAGUAAAGCUGUGUUAAGUGUGCCGUUGCAUUGUAUGUAGUUAGUAGCUAUUUAUGUUCAUAGAUGUUGUUAAACUACCUAUGAGCUUAAAUCACUUUAUAUUAUCAUAUCAUAACAUAACAUAACAAAUACUUUUUUGCACAAACAGGAAAAAACAAAAUACAAAACAAAAGAGAAAUAAAAUUAGUACAAUAGGCGGCCUUAUCAUUAAAUAGAUAAUAAAAAAAAUAACUAUGUAUAUUUUAAUGUUAUUGUUAAGUUUUUAUAUACCUACUUACUAAUAAUGUAACCAUACAUCUCAUCAUCUCCUAUUACAUAGCUUGUGAGGUGGAUGGCGAACCUCAUCAACCCUGUUAUAGGAUUAUUACUGAGCCACCCUGUUGUUACAUAAACCAAGUCCCCUGACAUGGUUUAUGUAACAACUAUGUGUUUAUAUUAGUAAGUAGUAACUGGGACCAACAGCUUCACAUGCCAUCCAAAGGAUCGCAAAGUAAUUUUUGUGAUAUGUCGACACCGGGUUCAAACUUUGGAUUGUGAGCCUGUCAGUCAACCACUCUGAAUAACAGAGAAGGGGAGGAAAGUAGUUGGUUAAGUUGAUGUUUUAUUAAACUAUUUGAUUAAUUGUAGAAAUAUUUUGUAUGAGUAUGAGUUGCACCUAUGACAUAUUUUAAAUAUAAUAAUAAAAAAACUU
This 1363-nucleotide long non-coding RNA is filed under the name Pectinophora gossypiella (pink bollworm). RNAcentral describes it as "uncharacterized LOC126369746". The record is from RNAcentral. Lineage: Eukaryota; Metazoa; Arthropoda; Insecta; Lepidoptera; Gelechiidae.